Cyprinodon tularosa is the source of this 461-nucleotide long non-coding RNA. RefSeq lists it as uncharacterized. Lineage: Eukaryota; Metazoa; Chordata; Actinopteri; Cyprinodontiformes; Cyprinodontidae. The record is from RefSeq and is a predicted model, not a curated record. The transcript is spliced from 3 exons.
AGAGCGGAUCUAGGAGCGGUUCUAGGAGCGGUUCUAGGGUAGCCUGCCGGCUCAGAGCGGUUCUAGGAGCGGUUCUAGGGUAGCCUGCCGGCUCAGAGCGGUUCUAGGAGCGGUUCUAGGGUAGCCUGCCGGCUCAGAGCGGUUCUAGGAGCGGUUCUAGGGUAGCCUGCCGUCUCAGAGCGGUUCUAUGAGCGGUUCUAGGGUAGCCUGUCGGCUCAGAGCGGUUCUAUGAGCGGUUCUAGGGUAGCCUGUCGGCUCAGAGCGGUUCUAGGAGCGGUUCUAGGAGCGGUCUUAGGGUAGCCUGUCGGCUCAGAGCGGUUCUAGGAGCGGUUCUAGCGUAGCCUGCCGGCUCAGAGCGGUUCUAGGAGCGGUUCUAGGAGCGGAUCUAGGAGUGGUUCUAGGGUAGCCUGCCGGCUCAGAGCGGUUCUAGGAGCGGUUCUAGGAGCGGAUCUAGGAGCGGU